GGGGAAUCUUGCACAAUGGGGGAAACCCUGAUGCAGCGACGCCGCGUGAACGAUGAAGCCCUUCGGGGUGUAAAGUUCUUUCGACAGGAACGAUAAUGACGGUACCUGGAGAAGAAGCUGCGGCUAACUACGUGCCAGCAGCCGCGGUAAUACGUAGGCAGCGAGCGUUGUUCGGAGUUACUGGGCGUAAAGAGUGCGUAGGCGGCGAGCCAAGUUUGGUGUGAAAUCUCCCGGCUUAACCGGGAGGGUGCGCCGAAAACUGGUUGGCUGGAGUAUGGGAGAGGAAAGCGGAAUUCCUGGUGUAGCGGUGAAAUGCGUAGAUACCAGGAGGAACACCUGCGGUGUAGACAGCUUUCUGGACCAAAACUGACGCUGAGGCACGAAAGCGUGGGUAGCAAACA
Molecule: ribosomal RNA, 401 nt
Filed under: uncultured bacterium
Lineage: Bacteria
Description: bacterial SSU rRNA
Rfam family: Bacterial small subunit ribosomal RNA
Source: RNAcentral